This 90-nucleotide transfer RNA is filed under the name Nitrospirota bacterium. RNAcentral describes it as "Nitrospirae bacterium (groundwater metagenome) tRNA-Ser". It matches the Rfam family "tRNA". From Rfam's summary of the family: Transfer RNA (tRNA) molecules are approximately 80 nucleotides in length. Their secondary structure includes four short double-helical elements and three loops (D, anti-codon, and T loops). The record is from RNAcentral. Lineage: Bacteria; Pseudomonadati; Nitrospirota.
GGAGAGAUGGCCGAGCUGGCUGAAGGCGCCUGACUCGAAAUCAGGUAUGGCGAUGAGCCAUCGGGGGUUCAAAUCCCUCUCUCUCCGCCA